This 207-nucleotide ribosomal RNA is filed under the name uncultured bacterium. RNAcentral describes it as "partial 16S ribosomal RNA". It matches the Rfam family "Bacterial small subunit ribosomal RNA", at positions 568 to 774 of the family's 1533-position model. The record is from RNAcentral.
CGCGUAGGCGGUCUUAUAAGUCAGGUGUGAAAGCCCGGGGCUUAACCCCGGAAGUGCAUUUGAAACUAUAAGACUUGAGUAUGGGAGAGGGAAGUGGAAUUCCUGGUGUAGCGGUGAAAUGCGUAGAUAUCAGGAGGAACACCGGUGGCGAAGGCGACUUCCUGGACCAAUACUGACGCUGAGGCGCGAAGGCGUGGGGAGCAAACA